RNA transcript from Cajanus cajan (pigeon pea), 1495 nucleotides. It is a transcript of the gene named DNAJ heat shock N-terminal domain-containing protein, with no coding region annotated. The record is from RefSeq and is a predicted model, not a curated record. NCBI's taxonomy places the organism in Eukaryota, Viridiplantae, Streptophyta, Magnoliopsida, Fabales, Fabaceae.
CUUUGCAGGCUCCACCCUCCCUCCCUCUCAUAAACCACCAAUUACUUGUCACCUUCUCCAUCUCAUCUCUCCUCACACACACACACACACACACGCAAUGUCCAAGAACAAGCUCUGCACGCCCCUUUCCACCCUUAUCACUCGCACCCUAACAUCAUCCACCUCCAUUUUCCCCCCUCACGUUAACAAGCUCCCUGUUCUUCAUCGCGCAUCCCCUUCUCCCCACCCCACCUUCGAUCACCCUCACUCUCUCGCGUGUCUCCGAUUUUCCGACAAAACCUUCUGCUCCAAACCUGCGGCGGAAACCCAACGUGGGUGCUGCUGGAGUUGUCGCGCUGUCCCUUGUUCCGCACCUUUUCUCGUCUGCGACUCGUGUCGCUGCGUUCAGCCCAUCGAUGGUUCUGUUGACUACUUUGAAAUAUUCGGGCUGGAGAGGAAGUAUGACAUGGAGGGUGAGAAUUUGGAGGGCAAGUACAAAGAGUGGCAAAAGAAACUGCAUCCUGAUUUAGUACAUUCAAAAUCUCAGAAAGAAAGAGAUUUUGCUGCCGAACAAUCUGCAAGGGUGAUUGAUGCAUACCGUACUCUUAGCAAGCCUUUGUCAAGAGCAAUUUACUUGAUGAAGCUUUAUGGGGUAGAAAUUGAUGAAGAACAGACAAUUUCAGAUCCAGAAUUACUAGCAGAGAUUAUGGAUAUAAGGGAAGCUGUUGAAGAAGCAAGUACCCCUGAGGCUUUGAAUCUUAUUCUCUCUCAGAUGCACGAGAAGAUGCAAAAUUGGUCUAAUGCCUUUAGUCAUGCUUUUCAAAGCCAGAGUUUUGAGGAAGCAAAAUUGGCAAUUAGGAGAAUGACUUACUAUACUCGUGUAAUUGAUGAAGUUGUAAAGAAGCUUUGAUAUAGGAGCUGAAAAUGGCAGAGUUAUAAGCAACUGUUAACAUUUCAUACCUCUGUUUCACUCCUAUCAUUCAAGUGUAAGAGUAGAGCAAGUGUCCUUCUACUUAGCAGUGGGGACAUUAUCACUGUUGUACCUGUUCUGCCUUUUGUGCUUCAAGGCAUUUGCAGUAAAAUGACUCAAUCACGGAGCUGUUGCUUUGGGGCAUACGAUAGAGAAUUUGACUCGCUUAUCCUCAUGAAGUGGCCAUAAAUCACCAUUUGAUUUCAUCAUAGUCUCAAUGGACCUUAUAGCUUCUCUCUGUCCAUUUGAAGUUCACAUUUUGUCACAUCAUGAGGCACAUCCUAAGCACGCUUCCUUUGAGAUCCGCUGCAUGCUACAAAGCAACACUAGUUUAUGUAUUAAUGAAUAUAGUUAUUACGUAGUAUUUUCCCAACACGAGUGGAUGACCUUGGGAAUUUUGCUACAGUUGUAUUUUGAUGCAAUAAAGGUGUUGUGGCAAAGAUAGCAUCAUAACAUUGCAUUCUUACGAGGUUAUGCAAUUUGAUGUUUGUAAACGAGAUGCUAAAUAGUAUUAAAAUAACCAUUUGGCGAGUUUCUAUUCAUUCA